AUAUUUGUAAACCACUUUAUGCAGAGUGGCGUCAAUGUUUAUUUUAAUUCUUUAUGUUCUCAAAUUGAAUCGACUAGUCCGGGAUACAAAAUUGCUUCACUAUUGUAAUCUUCAAGCACAACACAACCUCCCAUUAAAUCUGAGGCAGAUCAAUUUAGAAUACCUUAUGUAUACACAAUGCAUUUAUUUGUGGGAUAAAUAAGAUCGAGAGAUAGAGACUUUUGGAAGAACAUGUUGGCGGAUAAUGUAGCAAUGACCUUCACGUGUAGUAUAUAAAUAUCAUCGAAUUUGUUAUAAUCUGCAGUAUAUUGAAUAACUACUAUAAUGAAAUACUUUACAAUCUUCGCAGUUCUGGUGUUCGCCAUUUUGUCGAUGGCGGCUGCGAGGCUGAAUGCGCAUGAUUUACUGUUGAGAGUCACCCGCGGGAUACCGGGGCAACACCACCGCCACGGCUACGGCUACGGCGGGGGCAAUAGAGAGCAGAAUGGACAGCCAAAAAAAUGGAGACAUGCUACGUAAUUCGUAACAUUAUGUAGUAUAAGUAUUUAAUAUAUUAUUUUUAAGAAUUUUAUAUUUUUUUGUUUAUUUGUUUAAUAAAUAGUUUUGUUUUGUAA
This is a long non-coding RNA of Spodoptera frugiperda (fall armyworm), 614 nucleotides long. RefSeq lists it as uncharacterized. The transcript is spliced from 2 exons. The record is from RefSeq and is a predicted model, not a curated record. Lineage: Eukaryota; Metazoa; Arthropoda; Insecta; Lepidoptera; Noctuidae.